AGCGUAUAUUAAAGUUGUUGCAGUUAAAAAGCUCGUAGUUGAAUUUCGGAGUUUGUCGGUUGGUCGGGCUUCAUUGUCCGCACUGACCUGAUGGAUUCCUACCUUCUGAAUAACCAGCAUGCUAUUAAGUUAGUGCGUUGGGGAAGCAGGGCUAUUACCUUGAAAAAAUUAGAGUGCUUAAAGCAGGCUUAUGCUUGAAUAGAUUAGCAUGGAAUAAUAAAAUAGGACGGCAUGGUUCUAUUUUGUUGGUUUCUAGGAUCACCGUAAUGAUUAAUAGGGAUAGUUGGGGGCAUUAGUAUUCAAUUGUCAGAGGUGAAAUUCUUGGAUUUAUUGAAGACUAACUUCUGCGAAAGCAUUUGCCAAGGAUGUUUUCAUUAAUCAAGAACGAAAGUUAGGGGAUCGAGGACGAUCAGAUACCGUCGUAGUCUUAACCAUAAACUAUGCCGACUAGGGAUCGGACGAUGUUAAUUUUUUAAUGACUCGUUC
RNAcentral lists this ribosomal RNA (486 nucleotides) under uncultured Glomeromycotina. Its description in RNAcentral is "SSU rRNA". It matches the Rfam family "Eukaryotic small subunit ribosomal RNA", at positions 596 to 1081 of the family's 1831-position model. The record is from RNAcentral. Lineage: Eukaryota; Fungi; Glomeromycota.